Long non-coding RNA from Ipomoea nil (Japanese morning glory), 927 nucleotides. RefSeq lists it as uncharacterized. The record is from RefSeq and is a predicted model, not a curated record. Lineage: Eukaryota; Viridiplantae; Streptophyta; Magnoliopsida; Solanales; Convolvulaceae. The transcript is spliced from 3 exons.
UCACUUUGCCGCAGUUACAAAGGUUGUAGCUUCAUCGUUUAGGUUCAUCUUCAUUCGCGUAGUCUGGGGGCGUCCUCGCUUCUGUGUCGAUUUUGCGGUGCUUGUAUCGGUGUUGUUCAUGGCAGGGUCGAGCUCGAGGAGUUCUAAGCGACUUAGAGGGCCUAGGAAGUUAGUCUUGCAAUGGAUGCCUCCAGAAAAUCAAGAGCUGCUUUUGCAGCUGCUGAUCCAAGAAAAGGAGAGGCCCUGUGCAAAGAGGGUAUGCUAUCCGUUCGAAAAGCCCUGGAUUUCAACUUCCAGGAUGUGGAUGGGUUUCUGCAUCUUGUCCGCAUCACAAUGAAAGCAAUAUAAUAUAGGCAUAUAGCGCUGAAAUGUAAGCAUGCAAAACAUGUUUUUGCUCCCCUCUGUUGAUACAGUGGAAGCAGAUAGAUUGGAUCAUUUAGAAAGAGAUUUACCAGGAUGACUGAAAUUCAAAUAUGAGAGUCAUUCAUUUUUUGACCCUGUAUGUAUAGUAAUAGCUGAAUUCUAUUAAGAUAUUCUUUAAUGCCUCCUCGGGUUUCUUCUAAAUAACUAAAGAUCUUCGAUCGAAGAGGUAGUGGUUUGAGUCCCAUACCAUUGCGAACUCAUUAUUUGAUUACUGAUCCUGGUAACCCGUUUCUCCAACCAUGAGUCAUAAGCAUCCGGAUUGAGUUUUAGGCUCUCAGGUCAUAUUGUACAGUUUAUGCUUUGCAAUUGAGACUAUUGAUAGAUUGUUUUUUACAUAAAGACGGAAAAAUGACUAAAUACAUACAGCUCUAAAAUGCAAAAUCAGCAGUUGUUCUGGUGUAUGGCUUUGCAAGCCUCCACCUUUCCACCUUUGCCUUGUCACUUUUUUAGCAUUUUUUUAUGAUCUGCAAAUGAUUCUGCAAAACCUCAUAUUUGAUCUUGGUG